UACGGAGGGUGCGAGCGUUAUCCGGAAUCACUGGGUUUAAAGGGUGCGUAGGCGGCCAAGUAAGUCAGGGGUGAAAUACUGCGGCUCAACCGUAGAAUGGCCUUUGAUACUGCGUGGCUUGAAUGGAGUUGAGGUCGGCGGAAUGUGGCAUGUAGCGGUGAAAUGCAUAGAUAUGCCAUAGAACACCAAUUGCGAAGGCAGCCGGCUAGACUUGCAUUGACGCUGAGGCACGAAAGCGUGGGGAGCGAACAGG
This 253-nucleotide ribosomal RNA is filed under the name uncultured bacterium. RNAcentral describes it as "partial 16S ribosomal RNA". It matches the Rfam family "Bacterial small subunit ribosomal RNA", at positions 524 to 776 of the family's 1533-position model. The record is from RNAcentral.